AAGGCUUUUGCAUAGUCAAUGAAGCAGAAGUAGAUGUCUUCCUGGUACUCUCUAGCUUUCUCCAUAAUCCAGCGCAUGUUUGCAAUUUGGUCUCUGGUUCCUCUGCCCCUUCGAAAUCCAGCUUGCACUUCUGGGAGUUCUCGGUCCACAUACUGCUUGAGCCUUCCUUGUAGAAUUUUAAGCAUAACCUUGCUAGCGUGUGAAAUGAGUGCAAUUGUGCGGUAGUUGGAGCAUUCUUUGGCACUGCCCUUCUUUGGGAUUGGGAUGUAGACCGAUCUUCUCCAAUCCUCUGGCCACUGCUGAGUUUUCCAAACUUGCUGGCAUAUUGAGUGUAGCACCUUAACAGCAUCAUCCUUUAAAAUUUUAAAUAGUUCAGCUGGAAUGUCAUCACUUCCACUGGCCUUGUUAUUAGCAGUGCUUUCUAAGGCCCAUUUGGCUUCACUCUCCAGGAUGUCUGGCUCAAGGUCAGCAACCACACUACCUGGGGUGUACGAGACAUCCAUAUCUUUCUGGUAUAAUUCUGUGUAUUCUUGCCACCUCUUCUUGAUGUCUUCUGCUUCUGUUAGGUCCUUUCCACUUUUGUCUUUUAUUAUGGUAAUCUUUGUAUGAAAUGUUCCUUUCAUAUCUCCAAUUUUCUUGAACAGAUCUCUGGUUUUUCCCAUUCUAUUGUUUUCCUCUAUUUCUUUGCAUUGCUCAUUUAAGAAGACCUUCUUGUCUCUCCUUGCUAUUUUUUGGAAAUCUGCAUUCAAUUUCCUGUAUCUUUCACUAUCUCCCUCGCAUUUUGCUUGCCUUCUCUCCCCCCGCUAUUUGUAAGGCCUCGUUGGACAGCCACUUUGCUUUCUUGCAUUUCCUUUUCAUUGGGAUGGUUUUAGUUGCUGCCUCCUGUAUAAUGUUGCGAGCCUCCACCCAUAGUUCUUCAGGCACUCUGUCCACCAAAUCUAAAUCCUUAAACCUGGUCCUCACUUCCACUGUGUAUUCAUAAGGGAUUUGGUUUAGAUUGUAUCUUACUGGCCCAGUGGUGUUUCCUACUUUCUUCAGUUUAAGCUUGAAUUUUGCUAUAAGAAGCUGAUGAUCUGAGCCACAGUCAGCUCCAGGUCUUGUUUUUGCUGACUGUAUAGAGCUUCUCCAUCUUUGGCUGCAGAGAAUAUAAUCAAUCUGAUUUCGAUGCUGCCCAUCUGGUGAUGUCCAUGUGUAGAGUCGUCUCUUGUGUUGUUGGAAAAGCGUGUUUGUGAUGACCAGCUUGUUCUCUUGGCAGAACUCUAUUAGCCUUUGCCCUGCUUCGUUUUGAUCUCCAAGGCCAAACUUGCCAGUUGUUCCUUUUAUCUCUUGACUCCCUACUUUAGCAUUCCAAUGCCCUAUAAUGAGAAGAACAUCCUUCUUUGGUGUCAUUUCUAUAAGGUGUUGUAAGUCUUCAUAGAAUUGCUCAAUUUCAGUUUCUUCAGCACCAGUGGUUGGUGCAUAAACUUGGAUUACUGUGAUGUUAAAAGGUCUGCCUUGGAUUCGUAUCGAGAUCAUUCUAUCAUUUUUGAGAUUGCAUCCCAGUACCACUUUUGCCACUCUUUUGUUGACUAUGAGGGCCACACCAUUUCUUUUAUGGGAUUCUUGCCCACAGUAGUAGAUAUGAUGGUCAUCUGAACUGAAUUCGCCCAUUCCCAUCCAUUUUAGUUCACUGAUGCCCAGGAUGUCAAUAUUCCUCUUCCUGUACUUUGGACCAUAAAGGGGUGUUCCUAUUCCUGUUCCUAUACUCUUAUCUUGGAGCAAGAGGUCACCAACUCCUGGCGCCGUUCCCGGACUAAGUCUGUGCGUCAGAGUGUGGUCUUAAUGUAAGAUAAGAUAGAGUGCCAUCCCUGCUCCACUGGAACAGCCAAGGCCAUCCAUUGCCGUCACGGACUGAUAAAGGAGAGCGCUUUGAGCACUUGUUUAUACAGCUGGCUUUCUGUUUAUACAUUGACUCACGAGCUCAAGUUAAUGCAUUUUAGAAAUGCUCCCUUGCAGGGAGGGAAAUGUGGAUUUUGGGUCCCGUUUCAGACUGACUGUACAGUCAGGUUUUUAGAUUUGGAAACCCAUUCCUUCAUUAAGGCUUGGUUUCCAGACCCUUGAUCAUCUUGGUUGCCCUCCUCUGCACACCUUCCAACUUGUCAAUCUCCGCUUUAAACUGGGAUGCCCAGAACUGGACACAGGACUCCAGGUGUGGUCUGUCCAAGGCAGAAUAGAGCAGGAUUAUUCCUUCCCUUGACCUGGACACUAGACUUCUUGUUGAUGCAGCCUAGAAUAGCGUUGGCCUUUUUUGCUGCUGCAUCACACUAUGGGCUCAUGUUUAGCUUGUGGUCCUCCAAGACCCCAAGAUCCUUUUCACAUGUACUGCUAGCGAGCCAGCUGUCCCCCAUUUUAUAUUUGUGCAUCUGGUUCUUCCUGCCUAAGUGUAGAAUCUUACAUUUGUCCUGACCGAAACAAAAUAAAUGUCCUUGCUUUUGGAUUUGCCUCCUUUUUAACUCCCUGCUUUCCUCCCCACCGACACCAGCCUUCACUGCAUCAAAUAAAUAAAUAUACGUACAGGUUUGCAACAUUUCGCCUUUCCCCUUCUUGCAGUACGCCAAAGGUUUUCAGGAUGCCGUUGUCUUCACAGUAAUACGGGUCAUUGUGGUAAGAUUGGGCCAAACCCCAGUCCCCUAUCCUGUUCAUCAUACCAUUUUAAACAGUUUUCGCCCGCAAAGAGUCCUGGGAAACAUAGUUUGGUUACUGGGGCUGAGUGCGGUGAGGAGACUCUUAUUUCCCCCCAUGGAACUACAAUUCCCAGAGUCCCCCGGGAAGCGCUGUUGAACUGGCAUGGCUCCCCCCCCAGGGAAUUCUGGGAGUAUCAGGAUUUUUGAGAUGCUUUAGUGGGGCAUGGUCCUGAAAAAGGUUGGUCUAAUCUAUGCUGUGACUGCACUGCCUGAUUGUAAAAACAAACAAACAAAUUCAAAGCUCGUUACCAAAACAAUAAAAUUACCGUG
Non-coding RNA from Podarcis lilfordi (Lilford's wall lizard), 2993 nucleotides. The record is from the annotation of a GenBank genome assembly. NCBI's taxonomy places the organism in Eukaryota, Metazoa, Chordata, Lepidosauria, Squamata, Lacertidae.